CUUGUCAUGUCUUACCCAGUCUCCGGUGCAGCCUGUUGUCAAGGCUGCACCGGAGACUGGGUAAGACAUGACAAG
Homo sapiens (human) is the source of this 75-nucleotide microRNA precursor. Ensembl annotates it as microRNA 3130-1. The record is from Ensembl. NCBI's taxonomy places the organism in Eukaryota, Metazoa, Chordata, Mammalia, Primates, Hominidae.